RNAcentral lists this ribosomal RNA (253 nucleotides) under uncultured bacterium. RNAcentral's name for it is "partial 16S ribosomal RNA". It matches the Rfam family "Bacterial small subunit ribosomal RNA", at positions 524 to 776 of the family's 1533-position model. The record is from RNAcentral.
UACAUGGGGUGCAAACGUUGCUCGGAAUUAUUGGGCGUAAAGCGCGCGUAGGCGGUUACUCAAGUCGGAUGUGAAAGCCCUCGGCUUAACUGAGGAAGUGCACCCGAAACUGAGUAGCUAGAGUACUAAAGAGGGUCGCGGAAUUCCAGGUGUAGCGGUGAAAUGCGUAGAUAUCUGGAGGAAUACCGGUGGCGAAGGCGGCAUCCUGGACCGACAUUGACGCUGAUGAGCGAAAGCUAGGGGAGCAAACGGG